This 404-nucleotide unclassified non-coding RNA is filed under the name fungal sp. RNAcentral describes it as "partial internal transcribed spacer region". The stretch from base 1 to 46 matches the Rfam family "Eukaryotic small subunit ribosomal RNA", at positions 1786 to 1831 of the family's 1831-position model. Lineage: Eukaryota; Fungi. The record is from RNAcentral.
AAGUCGUAACAAGGUAUCCGUAGGUGAACCUGCGGAUGGAUCAUUAACGUUCUAUUUGAAAGAAACUAUAAAAGAAGGGGCAUUAAUACUAGCGUCAGCUAGUGUUGAUGUCUAUCUAUUAUUCUUCCUUUUCAAAUAAUACAAACGUACACCCUUGUGGUGAAUAUAGGAACUAGAGUGGUUCUAGUGGAGUAGUGUAGAGUGUAAUGGCAGAGUAGUGCAAUUUUAAUUGCAUUGUAAUGCCGUUCCUCUCUAUCGCAAAGCUAGAAUCUUCUGAUCUAUUAUAUAAACGCUAUUGUUUACAUUUAUUAAGACUAAAGUUUACCUUGUGAAUCGUUACUGAUUACCAAGUAAAACAAUUAAUAAAUCUAAUACAACUGCUAGCAACGGAUCACUCGGCUCUC